UACGGAGGAUGCGAGCGCUAUCCGGAUUUAUUGGGUUUAAAGGGUGCGCAGGCGGCACGGCAAGCCGGCGGUCAAAUCGCGGGGCUCAACCCCGCCCAGCCGUCGGAACUGCCGGGCUAGAGUGGGCGAGAAGUGCGCGGAAUUCCUAGUGUAGCGGUGAAAUGCGUAGAGAUUAGGAAGAACACCAGUGGCGAAGGCGAUUCUCUGGACUGUAACUGACGCUGAGGCUCGAAAGCGUGGGGAGCAAACAGG
This 252-nucleotide ribosomal RNA is filed under the name uncultured bacterium. Its description in RNAcentral is "partial 16S ribosomal RNA". It matches the Rfam family "Bacterial small subunit ribosomal RNA", at positions 524 to 776 of the family's 1533-position model. The record is from RNAcentral.